This 205-nucleotide non-coding RNA is filed under the name uncultured eukaryote. The record is from RNAcentral.
ACAAAAACGGAAAUCACGGAAAUUGCGCAUUCAAUCACGUCCUUUAGAAAAGCGUACCGCAGGGUCUUUGAGAUGCGGUGCUCGUUUUUAUUCUUCUUUACUUCUUUUUCUUUUAUGAUUAUGGCUUACAUUAAUUCACGAUAAAGAAAGAAAUACACAUACUAAACGAUGUUGCAAUCCAUACGCACCACAGGGUUGUAUAGAC